Non-coding RNA from Callithrix jacchus (white-tufted-ear marmoset), 6589 nucleotides. Lineage: Eukaryota; Metazoa; Chordata; Mammalia; Primates; Cebidae. The record is from RefSeq and is a predicted model, not a curated record.
AGGGGAGGAAGGCAGCAACUCACACUGCCAUGUGUGUACCUAUGCAACUAUUUUGCAUGUUCUUCACAUGUACCCCAAAACCUAAAAUGCAAUUAAAAAAAAAUUAAGAGAAUUUCAUUAUCAUUAUAGCAAGUGCAAUGGCUCACGCCUGUAAUCCUAGCACUUUCGGAGGCCAAGGAAGGAGGGUGAGAUCAAGAGUUUGAGACCAGCCUGACCAGCAUGCUGAAACCCCAUCUCUACUAAAAAUACAAAAAUUCUUCGGUGCAGUCGUCACUCGCGUCAGGCUACCGGCUCCUCGCUGCCCUGCGCUCGGCGGGCUGGCAUCCGGCCCCGGGAAAAGCGGAGAAAGUCUAAGAAGCUAAGUGUCCCGGCGGCGGCGCACCUCGCGGCGAGAAUCCGGAGGAGGAGAAGACUGCAAGGAUAGGCCCAGGAGUAAUGGAGUCCAAAGAGAAACGAGCGUUAAACAAUCUCAGCGUGGAAAAUGCCGACCAAGAAAAUGAAGAAAAGGAAGAAAAGAAACAAGUUGCUAAUAAAGGGGAGCCCUUGGCCCUCCCUUUGGAUGCUGGUGAAUACUAUGUGCCUAGAGGAAAUUGUAGGCGGUUCCGCGUUAGGCAGCCCAUCCUGCAGUUAUAGAUGGGACAUGGUGCAUAGGCUUGGAGAACCACAGGUAAGGAUGAGAGAGGAGAAUAUGGAAAGGCUUGGGGAGGAAGUGAGACAGCUGAGGGAAAAGCAGUUGAGUCAUAGUCUGCGGGCUGUCAGCACUGACCCCCCUCACCAUGACCAUCACGAUGAGUUUUGCCUUAUGCCCUGAAUCCUUAUUAGGGAGGCAGACUCCUGCUUUCGAAAUUUACAUGUUCAUUAUCUGCCCUUGUUGUAAACCUUUACCUGUCACUUGUUUACGUGGGUCUCCUAUUACCAGCUUCUUAUUGAAUAUUGUGUUUCUGACCCAGUCUGUAAGAUUUUUGUUAGCAGAAGAAUUUUACCUAUUGCAUGGAAAGAUGUUCAUUAUAUAUUGUGAAGUUAAUAAAGCAGCUUUAAAAAGUAAAAAAAAAAAACAAAAAACAAAAAUUAGCCCCGUGUGGUGGUGUGUGCCUAUAAUCCCAGCUACUCAGGAGGCUGAGGCAUGAGAAUAGCUUUAACCCAGGAGUUGGAGGUUGCAGUGAGCAAAGAUUGCACCACUGCACUCUAGCCUGGGCAACAAACUGAGACUCCAUCUCAAAAAAUAAAAAAUAAAAAGAAAGAAGGGUAUCAUUGUAAUGAACCAAUUAGAAAAGGCUUUAUGAGGCUGGGUACCAUGGCUCACGCCUGUAAUCCCAACACUUUAGUAGAUUGAGGCAGGCGGAUCACCCAAGGUCAGCCUGGCCAAUGUGGUAAAACCGUAUCUCUACUAAAAAUACAAAAAUUAGGUGGGCAUGGUGGUGCGUGCCUGGACUCCCAGCCACUUAGGAGGCUGAGGCAGGAGAAUCACUUGAACCUGGGAGGAGGAGGUUGCAGUGAGCCAAGAUCACGCCACAGCACUCCAGCCUGGCCUACAGAGUGAGACUUCAUCUCAAAAAAAAAAAGACAAUAGGAUUUGAGCUGAGACUCUGACCUUUAUUUCUGAUCUUAAAAUACCUUGAUUUCUGUAAGUGGUUAAAGGAUACUUGCAUGCUGACAAGAAAGGAAGACUACUGUGGGGGAUGUUAUGGCCAUAUUACAUACAAGUAAGAUAGCUUUCAAUGGAUGACUGCUGUUAAUCAUUUGUGGUAAAAUGAAGAAUCCAGAAAGGUUUUUUGUAUAGACUGAUAAUGUUCUUUAGGAAAUUACUUUGAGCCGGACGUGGUGGCUUAGGCCUGUAAUCCCAACACUUUGGGCGGCCAAGGUGGGCAGAUAACUUGAGAUCAGGAAUUUGAGACCAGCCUGGCCAACAUGGUGAAACCUUGUCUGUACUAAAAAUACAAAAAUUAGCUGGGCAUGAUGGCGAGUGCCUGUAAUUCCAGCUAUUUGGGAAGCUGACACAUGAGAAUUGCUUGAACCUGGGAAGCAGAGGUCAAAGUGAGCUGAGUUGGCACCACUGCACUCCAGCCUGGAUGACAGAGAGAGAGAGACUCCGUCUCAAAAAUAAAAGAAAGAAAGAAAGAAAAGAAAAUUACUUUCAGCAUAUUUUGGGUAUAUCAUAUGGGCAGAGCAUCCAGAGUACCUACUAGGCACACAGCAGAGUAACCAGUGUUUGCAGGUUUUACAUAACUUAUUUAGGAAGGUUGCCAAUUUUACAAGGCCAUUGUUAUUGAAUCAGUACCAGUGGCUGUGAGCACAAUGUGAAAUCCCCGCAGGCAACACAAGAACAGAAAUCAUUAAACUAUCUGGUAGUGGCUUUAUGGUUUAUUUAAAGAAAAAAAAAGCACAUUCAAGUAUGCAAAGCAAAACUUAUUGCUCUUCUUCCUCCAGGUGCUUAAUUUUAGAUGUUAUUAUUACAUCGGCAUCACAUGGUAGGCAAGGUGGUUCCCAUGACACAGAGGGCUUAUAAUAUUUAUAGUGGAGUAAGCCAUAAGGGGAAAGGUGUGCUGAUUGCUAUUUUUUCUUGUUAUUAUUGACUUGGUUGCUAGUUUUUAAUGGCCUGGUUGCUAAUUAAUGGCUUAAUGUAUUCGGUGUUCUAUAUAAGCAACGUACAACUCAUUAGUUUCUAAGUCAACUACACAUGAAAAUCAUUCUAGUGGAUAUGAGAAUGUUUCAUACAAAUAGUAAGCCUGUGAUUGUACAUUAAUCAAUGAAGAUCAAGAACUGUAUAAAUGCCAUGUUACACUAAGCCCAAAUGACAGUUUAAUGAUAUUGAGUCAAAAAAGAGACACUGCAACUACUAAAAAUUUAGAGAUUAUGCCCUAAUAAUGCCUGUGCCAAGAAAAAUGGCAUACUGAAACUAGGUAAGAGAAACUGUAUAUUUCAUAACAUUUAGUGAUUCUAACCAAAUGAAUUUAAACCUAGUAUAAUUUUUUUUCAAAAUUAAAAACUGAAUAAUGUAGUAGACUGGCUAGUUAUCUAUAAUGUAAAGAUUUAAACUGUUGGUUUAAUCAUACUUUUUUAUUGUUUCCUCUUAGAAUUGCUUGAGUACAUCUGUUCAGAACAGGUUUUAAUCCAGGCUAUUAGUGUGCUGGGGCUUAUUCCCCCCCGUACCUCUCCUAUAGUCAAUCUUAGUUAUCGUGGUAGUCUAUGCCCAUGCUACUGGAAUUUUCUCUUCUUCUUUUGUUGCUAUUUUAGAUGCUUGGAGAAAUUCUCAGCAAGCCCAUAUGCCCUGUUUGUCAGAAAAUAAUAGUGUCAUGAGAAAGUUUGUUAUGCUUUAAAAAAACAAAUCUAGGCCAGGCGCGGUGGCUCACUCCUAUAAUCUCAGAACUUUGGUAGGCUGAGGCAGGCAGAUCACCAGGUCAGGAGAUCGAGAUCAUCCUGGCCAACACUGUGAACCCAUCUCUACUGAGGCUGUGGACUGAGGCAGGAGGAUUGCUUGAGCUCAAGAGGUCAAGGCUGCAGUGAGCUAUGAUUAUGACACUGCACUUCAGCCUGGGUGACAGAGUGAGACCCUGUCUCAAAAAAAAAAAAAACUUGUCCUGGGUGAGUGAUUUUUUUUUUUUAAUGGAACCAGUCUUAUCAGUAAAGCAGAAAGCUUGGCUGUAUUUUAAUAUUUGCAGAUAAUGCAUGUUUAUUAUAGAAAAAUAAAACAUUGAGACAUUUCUCCUCCCUCCAAAAACAUUACUCUUAUUUUUAUUUCCCAAAUAGAUUUACUGUUAACACCAUCCAGGUUAACACAUAUCUUUUACGUGUAUGUGUAUGCUUUUAAAAAUGGGAUGGUCCCAUGUCUACUGCUUUGCAACCUCAUUAUUUUCACUUCAGCAUAUUGAGAACAUCCUGCCUUGUCCCCAAAUGCAUUUUUUUCAUAUCCUUUUUACUGGUUGUUUGUUUUCCAUAAAACUGAUUCAUAUUCUGUCCGAUUGUUGAGCAUUUCAGUUGUGUCCAGUUUUUUGCAGUUAUAAACAGAACCUCACUGAAUGAACAUCCUUAUGCUUCAGUCUUUGCCCAUGUCCCUAAAAGACAUAUUCUAAGGGUCAAUUCUGGGAUUGCUAGGACAAAGAACAUAUGUAUUUCUAGGGCUUUUGAUACAGGCUGCUGGUUUGCUCACCUGUUGGACCAGUCUACACUCCCAUCAGCAGAUGUAAUUCAUAUUUCUGAUGCUCCUGAAAUGAUAAAUAAAAGUUUUUAAAAAUACAAUUCCAUCUUUCAGUUCUUCUGAGCUACUUGGAGACCCAGAAAAAUUGAUUCUCACUUGUCUUUGCUAUCAAGACCCUCUUUCAUACCUAAGUACUGGCGAAAAAUACAUCAGUGAGUUGUUUGGGUAGAACUAAUGGAAAGAUGAAAUAAUACAACAUCGAUAGUCAAGAUGAAGAAACUAAUUAUCCCAGGGUGUUUUUGGGCAGAUAGGUAGUGCUUGUAAAUUUAGGUUUGCUCCCCACAUUGUCAGUUUAUUCUAAAAGUAUUACCAUUUUAGACUUAAAGAAUUGAAAGACAAAAGAUAAGCAAACAGACUUGCUUAGGUUAUGUAGCAAAUUAAUUCAGACCUUGAACAACAUUUCAUUGUGCUGUUUAGGAAGUGUUAAGCAUGAGAUUUCCCUUAGUGCUAUCUUACUAUGAUACUUAAAUUUUGCAAGAUGAUCAAAUAGAUUUUUAUUAUUAUGCUUAUGAAGUUAGAAUUUCCUGCCCUUAUUUAUAGAAAGCACUUCACAUAUUUCACAAAGCUGAGGAGAUUAACUUUUUUUUUGUAGGAGAUUAACUUUUUAGGGAAUUAGUCAUUUAAAUUCUUGAACCAAAGGCUAUAUGAUUAUUGAAUAUAGGAGAAAGGAGAAACGUAUGCAUGUUUCUCAAAGGCUCUUUCUUUAGAUUUCACCAGCAGAUCUAAACACUAUCCAUAGGGGCCUAUGGCAAAUUUACCAAAAAAGGGGGGAAUAAAAGGAAAGAAAAAGAAAAGACAGGAAGGAGGUUUCUUUGUCUAUUACUGCUGGCUUCAGUAGUGUUGGUUGCCUGCCUCUCUUUGACACUGUGACACUUCCUUAAUGAAGGUGUGUGUUUAAAUCACAGACAGGGAAAGUGCUUUCCGGUGAAGUUUCACUUUGUGUAGUGACAGCAGUUCUGGACAUGGUGCUGGCACAGAGGGUGAGUUCAGCACCUUCUCUUCAGAUCGGAUCUCUGCCCACAGCUCAUCUCUUUUACAUAGCAAGCCUUUGUUCACUAAAGAGUAGACCUGUGGUUGGCCUGUCCACCUACUGUCAGAGACCAAAGGUGACUGAUAAGGAGUCCAACGGUCAAAACAGAUAGUGUGAGGUCAAUCCAGCUUUAAGGAGAAAAGCCAUUGUUUUGAAGUGCAGGCAUCAAAAACUGAAUUGCAGCCUGAGAGAUGUUCAGUUCAUCAGCUUUGGCCAUUCAGCUCCCAUCAAAGAAAAAUCACUAGCUGUUUCUGUGGUCAGCAGGAGCAGAAAAGAAAGAAAACUUUUUAAAAUGUGUGAUUUAAUUAAAUUGUGUUGUAUUGGAGAUUUCUUUCCAGAAAUGGUUUCUUUGUGAGUGUUGCUUUGCUUACUAUGAGAAUGCAAGUAUUAAAUUAAAAAACCAAAGGUAAACCACAAUUACUAGGGCCUUUUAUUGGGUUUUUUAAUAGAAAGUCAAUUAGAUUAGAUUCAGGUAUUUCAUAUACUGACAUUACCUUUUGACCUAUUAGGGUCCGAUGGAGCAUUAGGAAAGGCAAGUGAUAUUUGCAUUAUUAUUAAGGCUAACACUUUUUAAUUAAAUUGGCUUUUACUAAGUAUUUAGCUAACUUCAGAAUUGAGAUACUACAAGUGUUUUCAACCUGAUUCAAAGUUUCCAUUUUAGGGAAUGUCUAAGUUAGCAGUGGUCCUUACAUAUAGUCAUUGAGAGACUGUAAGCUAAGCUAUUGUCCUUAUCCUCUAGUCUAGCAAAAGAUUUUGUGCAGGACAGCCAUAUAAUUUUCAGGGCCUGGUGCAAAGUGAAAAGGCAGGGCCUGUUGUUGUUCAGAAACAAGAAUUUCAAGACAGCACCAGCAGAGCAUUAAGCCAAUUCCUUCAAGCACCAAACCCUGUACAGGCCACAAGUGCAUCCCUGACGGGGAAGUGAAGUUAAAUAGAUGGUGGAUUUGAUUAGAACUCUGCUUCUUAUUUAUGUUAUUUCUGAACCACUGUUUUCUCUAUUUUUUAUCUUUCUAUAAAAUUUUUCUUGUUCUAUUCUCUUGCCAAACUUGGAGACCCUGAAGGAAGAAUUGGGAGUAUGUAUACUUAAAUUUCUUAGUCCAUGUGAGAACUUCUGCAAGAACUUCUGUAUUUUCUUGUGUUUGGCUGGUGUAGCAAUUGAGAUUAGAGUUUUGGUUUUAGGAAAGUGAGUAAUUUAUUUAAUUAAAAAUACAUAUACCACAUUAUAAUUUUAAAAGCUCUUUCACAAUUCAUAUAACAUUUGAUUCAAACAAUUAUGCUUUUGAGGCAGUUAGUAUUUUUUCCUCUCAUCUUAUAGAUAAGAAAAUUAAGCCUCAGAGAGGUUGAGACUUUCUCAAAGUCAGCCAGCU